This is a long non-coding RNA of Ostrinia nubilalis (European corn borer), 467 nucleotides long. RefSeq lists it as uncharacterized. The record is from RefSeq and is a predicted model, not a curated record. NCBI's taxonomy places the organism in Eukaryota, Metazoa, Arthropoda, Insecta, Lepidoptera, Crambidae. The transcript has 3 exons.
AAUUUAAGUUAAUGUUCAUUCAUGUUCUGCGCGCGUAUUGAGUUGCGCCCUGAAUAUUUCUUUGGGCAUUAUCCGCAAAAUAAUUAUGUUACAAAACUUUUUGCGUUAAACUUGUAAAACAAACGAGAAGUUUUAUUGGAAAUCUGCUUAAGUAAAUUGGGGAAAACCUAUAAAAGGCUGAAAAUUAUUAUUGAGCAACAUUGGGUGUGGAUCCUUCGCCGGUGUGGGGUCGCAGUGCGUGAAUAUUUGAGAAAACAGAUGCAAAAAUGGAUGGCAAAUACGUCCUAAUAGCCCUAGUGGUGGCUUGUACCCACGAGCUGGGCCACUCACACAUUCUCCCGCCAAGCCACGACUUCCCUAUAGCGGAGUGUGUCAGGUCACUGACUCGCCACAUGAUCAAUGUGUGUUCUUCCUAUGGUGAUUAUGCGGACAUGUUCAUCGACAACGGAAUGCCGUUAAUCCCCCAA